UAGGGAAUCUUCCACAAUGGACGCAAGUCUGAUGGAGCAACGCCGCGUGAGUGAAGAAGGUCUUCGGAUCGUAAAGCUCUGUUGUUGGUGAAGAAGGAUAGAGGCAGUAACUGGUCUUUAUUUGACGGUAAUCAACCAGAAAGUCACGGCUAACUACGUGCCAGCAGCCGCGGUAAUACGUGGUGGCAAGCGUUGUCCGGAUUUAUUGGGCGUAAAGCGA
RNAcentral lists this ribosomal RNA (220 nucleotides) under uncultured bacterium. RNAcentral describes it as "partial 16S ribosomal RNA". It matches the Rfam family "Bacterial small subunit ribosomal RNA", at positions 355 to 568 of the family's 1533-position model. The record is from RNAcentral.